AAAAUUAUCUGGACGAGAUCAAUCGGUGAACACGAAGGCCGAUGGUCUGGAGCUGUUCCCGUCAUUGCACCACAGACGGGAGCGGCUUUAGCAUUUCCUCAAGGGUCAUGCACGUCAGAAUGUGUGGUCGAUGGGGCUCGCGUUUGCGCGGCCCCUAC
This 158-nucleotide small nuclear RNA is filed under the name Marchantia polymorpha subsp. ruderalis. RNAcentral's name for it is "U1 spliceosomal RNA". It matches the Rfam family "U1 spliceosomal RNA". Rfam says of the family: U1 is a small nuclear RNA (snRNA) component of the spliceosome (involved in pre-mRNA splicing). Its 5' end forms complementary base pairs with the 5' splice junction, thus defining the 5' donor site of an intron. There are significant differences in sequence and secondary structure between metazoan and yeast U1 snRNAs, the latter being much longer (568 nucleotides as compared to 164 nucleotides in human). The record is from Rfam by way of RNAcentral. Lineage: Eukaryota; Viridiplantae; Streptophyta; Marchantiopsida; Marchantiales; Marchantiaceae.